Molecule: ribosomal RNA, 489 nt
Filed under: uncultured bacterium
Lineage: Bacteria
Description: partial 16S ribosomal RNA
Rfam family: Bacterial small subunit ribosomal RNA
Source: RNAcentral
GUGCACGCUGGCGGCAGGCCUAACACAUGCAAGUCGAACGGCAGCACAAGAGAGCUUGCUCUCUGGGUGGCGAGUGGCGGACGGGUGAGGAAUGCAUCGGAAUCUGCCCAUUUGUGGGGGAUAACCUCGGGAAACCGGGACUAAUACCGCAUACGACCUACGGGUGAAAGCAGGGGAUCUUCGGACCUUGCGCAGAUGGAUGAGCCGAUGCCGGAUUAGCUAGUUGGAGGGGUAAAGGCCCACCAAGGCGACGAUCCGUAGCUGGUCUGAGAGGAUGAUCAGCCACACUGGGACUGAGACACGGCCCAGACUCCUACGGGAGGCAGCAGUGGGGAAUAUUGGACAAUGGGCGCAAGCCUGAUCCAGCCAUGCCGCGUGUGUGAAGAAGGCCUUCGGGUUGUAAAGCACUUUUGUUGGGAAAGAAAAGCAGCCGGUUAAUACCCGGUUGUCAUGACGGUACCCAAAGAAUAAGCACCGGCUAACUUCGUG